AUUGAACGCUGGCGGCAGGCCUAACACAUGCAAGUCGAGCGGGGUUUUCGGACCUAGCGGCGGACGGGUGAGUAAUGCGUAGGAAGCUGCCCGAUAGAGGGGGAUACCAGUUGGAAACGACUGUUAAUACCGCAUAAUGUCUACGGACCAAAGUGUGGGACCUUCGGGCCACAUGCUAUCGGAUGCGCCUACGUGGGAUUAGCUAGUUGGUGAGGUAAUGGCUCACCAAGGCGACGAUCUCUAGCUGGUUUGAGAGGAUGAUCAGCCACACUGGAACUGAGACACGGUCCAGACUCCUACGGGAGGCAGCAGUGGGGAAUAUUGGACAAUGGGCGCAAGCCUGAUCCAGCCAUGCCGCGUGUGUGAAGAAGGCCUUCGGGUUGUAAAGCACUUUCAGCGAGGAGGAAGGGUGAUGUGUUAAUAGCACAUCAUUUUGACGUUACUCGCAGAAGAAGCACCGGCUAACUCUGUGCCAGCAGCCGCAGUAA
RNAcentral lists this ribosomal RNA (488 nucleotides) under uncultured bacterium. RNAcentral's name for it is "partial 16S ribosomal RNA". It matches the Rfam family "Bacterial small subunit ribosomal RNA", at positions 30 to 523 of the family's 1533-position model. The record is from RNAcentral.